UAUUCUAUGAACCGUAAUAAUUAUUCUUUAACAUCUCAGGAAUUUAUAUCACCUGGACAGUCAAAAUAAAUCUCUCAUAGUCUUCAUCUUCUUUCAAGUUACUUCAUCAGACAUCACAUAAUAUAAAUAAAUACAUAAACAAACGCGGCGCGUACUCUCCUAAUUAAUAUUUAACAUAACAUGCUUUCAAGCAUUAUUCAUAACUCUCAUAAUCUUCAUCAAACUUAUUUCUCUCAAUAAGUACUUCAAUAAUAACAUUCAACUUUUCAUAAAGAUUCUAGGUCUUUCACUAACACCAGCGCGGUAGAUAAUGAUCAAGAGUCUAGACAAAUAUAUAGUUGAAUGAGGAGGUACAAAAUAUGCGCAGAAUAUCGCGUAUUAAUAAAUAAAUAACAAUCACCUUCCUACGUCAAUAUGUUUCAAUCCGAAAUAAUAAUUGUCUAUUUUAUAA
Long non-coding RNA from Maniola jurtina (meadow brown), 451 nucleotides. RefSeq lists it as uncharacterized. The record is from RefSeq and is a predicted model, not a curated record. The transcript is spliced from 3 exons. NCBI's taxonomy places the organism in Eukaryota, Metazoa, Arthropoda, Insecta, Lepidoptera, Nymphalidae.